This 332-nucleotide unclassified non-coding RNA is filed under the name soil metagenome. Its description in RNAcentral is "partial contains 5.8S ribosomal RNA, internal transcribed spacer 2, and large subunit ribosomal RNA". The stretch from base 1 to 120 matches the Rfam family "5.8S ribosomal RNA", at positions 35 to 154 of the family's 154-position model. The record is from RNAcentral.
GAUGAAGAACGUAGCGAAAUGCGAUAAGUAGUGUGAAUUGCAGAAUUCAGUGAAUCAUCGAAUCUUUGAACGCACAUUGCGCCCUUUGGUAUUCCUUAGGGCAUGCCUGUUCGAGCGUCAUUUAAACCUUCAAGCUAACCUUGGUGUUGGGUGACUGUCCGCUUCACGGCGGACUCGCCUCAAAAUUAUUGGCGGCCGGUACAUUGGCUUCGAGCGCAGCAGAAACGCGAACUCGGGCCCGUCGUAUUGGCUCCCAGAAGCUAUCUUCACAAUUUUGACCUCGGAUCAGGUAGGGAUACCCGCUGAACUUAAGCAUAUCAAUAAGCGGAGGA